UUAAAGGGCCGCGGUAUUUUGACCGUGCGAAGGUAGCAUAAUAAUUAGUCUCCUAAUUAGAGGCUUGUAUGAAUGGUCGGACAAGAUGGAAACUGUCUCAAUACAAUAAAUAAAAUUUAAUAUUUAAGUAAAAAAGCUUAAAUAAUAUGGAGGGACGAUAAGACCCUAUAAAGCUUUAUAUUAUAUUUCUUUAAUAUAAAUUGUAAUGUUAUUAACUUAUUUUAGAAAAUAUAUUAUUUUACUGGGGCGGUAAAAGUAUAUUAAAGAUUAACUGCUUUUGUUUUGUAUAACAAUUAUAGUUGAAAAUAAAAUGAUCCAUUAUUAAUGAUCAUAAAACCAAGUUACUUUAGGGAUAACAGCGUAAUUUUUUUUGAGAGUUCUUAUCGAAAAAAAAGUUUGCGACCUCGAUGUU
Molecule: ribosomal RNA, 412 nt
Filed under: Squilloides leptosquilla
Lineage: Eukaryota; Metazoa; Arthropoda; Malacostraca; Stomatopoda; Squillidae
Description: partial 16S ribosomal RNA
Rfam family: Bacterial large subunit ribosomal RNA
Source: RNAcentral